This 378-nucleotide unclassified non-coding RNA is filed under the name uncultured bacterium. Its description in RNAcentral is "contains 16S-23S intergenic spacer region". The record is from RNAcentral.
UCCGGCUUAUCACCGGCGGUUUCUUUAGAGUGCCCAACUAAAUGAUGGCAACUAAAGACGAGGGUUGCGCUCGUUGCGGGACUUAACCCAACAUCUCACGACACGAGCUGACGACAGCCAUGCAGCAUCUGUGCACGCUCCCUCGCGGGUCCUCGGUGUUUCCACCUCGUACCACGUGCAUGUCAAGCCCGGGUAAGGUUCUUCGCGUUGCGUCGAAUUAAACCACACGCUCCGCUGCUUGUGCGGGCCCCCGUCAAUUCUUUUGAGUUUUAGCCUUGCGGCCGUACUCCCCAGGCGGAACACUUAUCGCGUUGACUGCGGCACAGACAGAUUCGACUCCGCCCACACCUAGUGUUCAUCGUUUACGGCGUGGACUAC